This 466-nucleotide ribosomal RNA is filed under the name uncultured bacterium. RNAcentral's name for it is "partial 16S ribosomal RNA". It matches the Rfam family "Bacterial small subunit ribosomal RNA", at positions 28 to 507 of the family's 1533-position model. The record is from RNAcentral.
GACGAACGCUGGCGGCGCGCCUAACACAUGCAAGUCGAACGAGCGAGCGAGAGCUUGCUUUCUCGAGCGAGUGGCGAACGGGUGAGUAACGCGUGAGGAACCUGCCUCAAAGAGGGGGACAACAGUUGGAAACGACUGCUAAUACCGCAUAAGCCCACGACCCGGCCUCGGUUAGAGGGAAAAGGAGCAAUCGGCUUUGGGAUGGCCUCGCGUCCGAUUAGCUAGUUGGUGAGGUAACGGGCCACCACGGCGACGAUCGGUAGCCGGACUGAGAGGUUGAACGGACACAUUGGGAGUGAGACACGGACCAGAAUCCUACGGGAGGGAGCAGUGGGGAAUAUUGCAAAAUGGGGGAAACCCUGAUGCAGCGACGCCGCGUGGAGGAAGAAGGUCUUCGGAUUGUAAACUCCUGUUGUUGAGGAAGAUAAUGACGGUACUCAACAAGGAAGUGACGGCUAACUACGUG